RNAcentral lists this long non-coding RNA (1314 nucleotides) under Mustela putorius furo (domestic ferret). RNAcentral's name for it is "lncRNA (ENSMPUG00000025724.1)". The record is from RNAcentral. Lineage: Eukaryota; Metazoa; Chordata; Mammalia; Carnivora; Mustelidae.
CUCUAUUGAGUAAACUGUGAUUGAUUCCUGAUGGCUGCCCAAAGGGUUGUUUUGGGUUGUUUUUGUUGUUGUUGUUCUUGUUGUUUUAAAUAUUUUUUUGUGUUUUUUUGUUUGUUUGUUUAAAGAUGUUUUUGUUUUUUUUUUAAAGAUUUAUUUAUUUAUUUUGAGAGAGAGCAUGCACGAGCCCACAUGUGAGCACAGUAAGGGGAGGGCAGAGGGAGAGAAAGCAUCCGAGCAGACUCCCACUUAGGGCUUGAUCUCAGGUCCCUGAAAUCACAAGUGGAGCCAAAAUCAAGAGUUAGAUGCUCAACCGACUGAGCCACCCAAGUGUCCCCCAAGUGAUGUUUUGAAAACAAUUCUGAGGCCAAGUCUCAGCUUUAUAGGUUGAUAGCACAGCUGAUUAGUGAUGUCUCUGUGGGCAUGGGAACAAGGAUGAGAAGCAUGGGUUGUGGCAGCUACCAUCCUUGCGUGUUACUACUUUUAAGGAGAUGCACAUCCUGGCCUGAAAUACCUCCAUGGAGAGAAAGACAGUUAAGCAGUAAACUCAGCACUAGUCCAAUCUGAACUUGCAGACUCGAUCAGGGAUAUUAACCAGAGUGUUGGAGUCAUAUUUCAAAAGGAUGCUGCCUGACAUCUUACUUGAGCUUCUAUUAUGAUAUAAAGCAACCAAACGCCAUGUCUUAUACUGCCGCAGACUCAAAAAAGCAUCUACAAUGCGGCCCCGAGGGCUGAUCCAUUUAUUGAAGUCAAAAAAAGGAACUGGUUCACGUGGACUGUGGAGGCUAGCAAGUCCAAAAUCUGCCAGGGCGUUUUCAAGCGUAAAGAUCACGUGCGUCCUAUAUCAAGCAAACACAUCCCAACAGUUCUGCGAAAAUCUGUCCCUUUGAAGAAAAGGAAGAUCACAGUGCUGCUGUUCACUGACCACUCCAUGAGGUGUUCCCUAACCUAAGUCUGUCCUCUGCUUUUCUUACCACUGUUGCAACCCACACCCUAUUUUCAAAUUCCCUGGACCAGUAUAACAGAAGCAAAGGCAUGCACGGAUUUUUAUGAGCCCACAGAAGAAAGGGAAGUUCCCUGUCUUUUUAGUGGUUUUUCAGUGGCUGUUAAAGAGAUUCUCAACCAGAUGUCUCCGUAGGCUUCAAUAAAUGUUAUUUUCCUUCCAUUUAAAAUGUGUUUAACUUUUUUUUUUCUGCACCUUAAUGUCUGAAAAUAGCUGAGUGAAGAGCAGAACCGCUCCCUUUCCCCAGGAACUUGUUACAGUACGCAAGUGCAGGCUGAAGACUGAACAACAGCCACGGGAGAGAGUGUGAGGAG